CGAGCGACGCACUCCGGAGGGGUAACCCACUGGAAUGACGGAGCGGCGAACGGGUGAGUAACACGUGAGCAACCUGCCCCACAGACCGGGAUAGCCCAGGGAAACCUGGAUUAAUACCGGAUACCCUCCUAGGACCGCAUGGUCCAUUGAGGAAAUACCUUUGUGCUGUGGGAUGGGCUCGCGGCUUAUCAGCUAGUUGGUGGGGUAACGGCCUACCAAGGCAUUGACGAGUAGCUGGUCUGAGAGGACGAUCAGUCACACUGGAACUGAGACACGGUCCAGACUCCUACGGGAGGCAGCAGCAGGGAAUCUUGCGCAAUGGGCGAAAGCCUGACGCAGCGACACCGCGUGGGGGAUGAAGGCCUUCGGGUUGUAAACCCCUUUCAGGAGGGAAGAAAUUGACGGUACCUCCACAAGAAGGACCGGCCAACUACGUGCCAGCAGCCGCGGUAAUACGUAGGGUCCGAGCGUUAUCCGGAAUCAUUGGGCGUAAAGAGCUCGUAGGCGGUUCAGCAAGUCGGCUGUGAAAGUUCGAGGCUCAACCUCGAAAUUGCAGUCGAUACUGCUGUGACUCGAGUCCGGUAGAGGAGAAUGGAAUUCCCGGUGUAGCGGUGAAAUGCGCAGAUAUCGGGAGGAACACCAGUAGCGAAGGCGGUUCUCUGGGCCGGUACUGACGCUGAGGAGCGAAAGCGUGGGGAGCAAACAGGAUUAGAUACCCUGGUAGUCCACGCCGUAAACGUUGGACACUAGGUGUGGCGGUCUAUCAACGACUGCUGUGCCGAAGCUAACGCAUUAAGUGUC
This 801-nucleotide ribosomal RNA is filed under the name uncultured bacterium. Its description in RNAcentral is "bacterial SSU rRNA". It matches the Rfam family "Bacterial small subunit ribosomal RNA", at positions 63 to 868 of the family's 1533-position model. The record is from RNAcentral.